GUCCACGCUGUAAACGAUGUGUGCUAGACGUUGGGGGGUUGCCUCCCGGUGUCGCAGCUAACGCGUUAAGCACACCGCCUGGGGAGUACGGCCGCAAGGUUAAAACUCAAAGGAAUUGACGGGGGCCCGCACAAGCGGUGGAGCAUGUGGUUCAAUUCGACGCAACGCGAAGAACCUUACCAGCUUUUGACAUGGGUAGUAUGGGCCUGGGCGACUGGGCUCUUCAGUUCGGCUGGCUACCACACAGGUGCUGCAUGGCUGUCGU
RNAcentral lists this ribosomal RNA (265 nucleotides) under uncultured bacterium. RNAcentral's name for it is "partial 16S ribosomal RNA". It matches the Rfam family "Bacterial small subunit ribosomal RNA", at positions 793 to 1055 of the family's 1533-position model. The record is from RNAcentral.